CAGUCGAACGAUGAUCUCCAGCUUGCUGGGGGGAUUAGUGGCGAACGGGUGAGUAACACCUGAGUAACCUGCCCUUGACUCUGGGAUAAGCCUGGGAAACUGGGUCUAAUACUGGAUACGACCUUCCAUCGCAUGGUGGUUGGUGGAAAGCUUUUGUGGUUUUGGAUGGACUCGCGGCCUAUCAGCUUGUUGGUGGGGUAAUGGCCUACCAAGGCGACGACGGGUAGCCGGCCUGAGAGGGUGGACGGCCACACUGGGACUGAGACACGGCCCAGACUCCUACGGGAGGCAGCAGUGGGGAAUAUUGCACAAUGGGCGCAAGCCUGAUGCAGCGACGCCGCGUGAGGGAUGAAGGCCUUCGGGUUGUAAACCUCUUUCAGUAGGGAAGAAGCGAAAGUGACGGUACCUGCAGAAGAAGCGCCGGCUAACUACGUGCCAGCAGCCGCGGUAAUACGUAGGGCGCAAGCGUUAUCCGGAAUUAUUGGGCGUAAAGAGCUCGUACGCGGUUUGUCGCGUCUGCCGUGAAAGUCCGGGGCUUAACCCCGGAUCUGCGGUGGGUACGGGCAGACUUGAGUGAUGUAGGGGAGACUGG
This 592-nucleotide ribosomal RNA is filed under the name bacterium 80-L049640-122-012-H10. RNAcentral describes it as "bacterial SSU rRNA". It matches the Rfam family "Bacterial small subunit ribosomal RNA", at positions 59 to 664 of the family's 1533-position model. The record is from RNAcentral.